Molecule: ribosomal RNA, 449 nt
Filed under: uncultured bacterium
Lineage: Bacteria
Description: bacterial SSU rRNA
Rfam family: Bacterial small subunit ribosomal RNA
Source: RNAcentral
CCCAGACUCCUACGGGAGGCAGCAGUGGGGGAUAUUGCACAAUGGGGGGAACCCUGAUGCAGCGACGCCGCGUGGGUGAAGGAGCGUUUCGGCGCGUAAAGCCCUCUCGGCAGGGAAGAAGGAGGACGGUACCUGACUAAGAAGCCCCGGCUAACUACGUGCCAGCAGCCGCGGUAAUACGUAGGGGGCAAGCGUUAUCCGGAUUUACUGGGUGUAAAGGGGGCGCAGACGGCAGCGCAAGCCAGGAGUGAAAGCCCGGGGCCCAACCCCGGGACUGCUCUUGGAACUGCGCGGCUGGAGUGCAGGAGGGGCAGGCGGAAUUCCUGGUGUAGCGGUGAAAUGCGUAGAUAUCAGGAGGAACACCGGUGGCGAAGGCGGCCUGCUGGACUGCGACUGACGUUGAGGCCCGAAAGCGUGGGGAGCAAACAGGAUUAGAUACCCCUGUAAUC